This 25-nucleotide microRNA is filed under the name Eptesicus fuscus (big brown bat). Its description in RNAcentral is "efu-miR-9340". The record is from miRBase by way of RNAcentral. Lineage: Eukaryota; Metazoa; Chordata; Mammalia; Chiroptera; Vespertilionidae.
UCCGGAAUGGAGUGGAGAGGUGAGC